GAUCAAGGUAGGGAUUUACCCGCUGAACUUAAGCAUAUCA
RNAcentral lists this ribosomal RNA (40 nucleotides) under Macrophomina phaseolina. RNAcentral describes it as "partial 28S ribosomal RNA". Lineage: Eukaryota; Fungi; Ascomycota; Dothideomycetes; Botryosphaeriales; Botryosphaeriaceae. The record is from RNAcentral.